UGAGAAUAAUCUAAAAAGCAGGA
Molecule: non-coding RNA, 23 nt
Filed under: Rattus norvegicus (Norway rat)
Lineage: Eukaryota; Metazoa; Chordata; Mammalia; Rodentia; Muridae
Source: RNAcentral